UUCCUUGUAGUAUAGUGGUGAGUAUUCCCGCCUAUCACGCGGGUGACCCAGGUUCGAUCCUCGACAAUGACA
Non-coding RNA from Picea glauca (white spruce), 72 nucleotides. The record is from Rfam. NCBI's taxonomy places the organism in Eukaryota, Viridiplantae, Streptophyta, Pinopsida, Pinales, Pinaceae.